GCGCCUAAACGGGCUGACGUUUUUCUCACCGUCGCCAUUUUCUUUGACCCGCGAAUCGCGAUGCGGAGCAAACAAGGACGGAAAAUACAGAGAUUAAGUGUUUUAUGUUAUUCACACAGUAUUAAUUUUAUAACAUCAUAUUGUUUUAGAACGAUAUUUCUGUGCGGCUCGCGGUGCGGAGCUGACGAGGAGGUUGCUUUUUAACAGGAAAACACCAAAAAGAGACAUUUGCUUUGAUUCACGAUGCGGAGCAGGCAGAGGUUACUAUUAUCAACAAGAGACCUAAAAUGGUUCAUGCUGGAAUAACUGGAAAAUCAAAAGGAAUCAAUUUGUUUGAGUAUAAAAUCAUCAGUACGUUGUCAAGUUGGAUGAAAAGAGCUCUUGUUAACAUUUUUAGGACACAUACAACAGACAUGGUCCCCUGAAGGAGAAGUUCAGGUGCAUGAUUUAUGACUGAAGAUGGCAGACUGAAAAAAGCAGGUUGGAGACGAAGUCCCGAGCCUCAGCAGACACAUGCUCAAACGCAUCCUCAUCAAAGUACCUGCAAACAUCCAACAGGGGGCGUUGCUUUACAACAGAUUUCACUUUAAACCGUUCUUUAGAGCUGUUUGUAGACUUUAUGAUUUUUAAAUAGAUGUUUCAACGCUUGUUUAUAAUUAGCUCAUGUUCUGUUGAGUAUAGAAUCGAUAUAAUAGCAGCCUACCAGUUGCCCAUAAGCACAU
Onychostoma macrolepis is the source of this 722-nucleotide long non-coding RNA. RefSeq lists it as uncharacterized. Lineage: Eukaryota; Metazoa; Chordata; Actinopteri; Cypriniformes; Cyprinidae. The transcript is spliced from 5 exons. The record is from RefSeq and is a predicted model, not a curated record.